GAGUUUGAUCGUGGCUCAGGAUGAACGCUGGCGGCGUGCCUAAUACAUGCAAGUCGAGCGAACAGACGAGGAGCUUGCUCCUCUGACGUUAGCGGCGGACGGGUGAGUAACACGUGGAUAACCUACCUAUAAGACUGGGAUAACUUCGGGAAACCGGAGCUAAUACCGAAUAAUAUAUUGAACCGCAUGGUUCAAUAGUGAAAAACGGUUUUGCUGUCACUUAUAGAUGGAUCCGCGCCGCAUUAGCUAGUUGGUAGGGUAACGGCUUACCAAGGCGACGAUGCGUAGCCGACCUGAGAGGGUGAUCGGCCACACUGGAACUGAGACACGGUCCAGACUCCUACGGGAGGCAGCAGUAGGGAAUCUUCCGCAAUGGGCGAAAGCCUGACGGAGCAACGCCGCGUGAGUGAUGAAGGUCUUCGGAUCGUAAAACUCUGUUAUUAGGGAAGAACAAAUGUGUAAGUAACUAUGCACGUCUUGACGGUACCUAAUCAGAAAGCCACGGCUAACUACGUGCCAGCA
Molecule: ribosomal RNA, 522 nt
Filed under: uncultured microorganism
Description: bacterial SSU rRNA
Rfam family: Bacterial small subunit ribosomal RNA
Source: RNAcentral